RNAcentral lists this ribosomal RNA (253 nucleotides) under uncultured bacterium. Its description in RNAcentral is "partial 16S ribosomal RNA". It matches the Rfam family "Bacterial small subunit ribosomal RNA", at positions 524 to 776 of the family's 1533-position model. The record is from RNAcentral.
UACGGGGGGGGCAAGCGUUGUUCGGAAUUACUGGGCGUAAAGGGCUCGUAGGCGGCCAACUAAGUCGGAUGUGAAAGCCCCGGGCUCAACCUGGGAAUUGCAUUUGAGACUGAAUAGCUAGGGUGCGGAAGAGGGAAGCGGAAUUUCCGGUGUAGCGGUGAAAUGCGUAGAUAUCGGAAGGAACACCAGUGGCGAAAGCGGCUUCCUGGUCCAGCACCGACGUUCAGGCACGAAAGCGUGGGGAGCAAACAGG